Long non-coding RNA from Cygnus olor (mute swan), 361 nucleotides. RefSeq lists it as uncharacterized. The transcript is spliced from 3 exons. NCBI's taxonomy places the organism in Eukaryota, Metazoa, Chordata, Aves, Anseriformes, Anatidae. The record is from RefSeq and is a predicted model, not a curated record.
GUGGCCACCAAGGAGCAGCUCUGACUAGCCUUCUCUUUUCCUCCUUACAGGGGUGCCUCCUGCUAUUAAGAGCCAGCUGCUCACACGCCAGAGUCCUUCUCUACCCAGACUCUCCAGGGCGACUGGGGAGGCAAAGCUGGGCCAGGCUGCUGGGGAAAAAGAGCCUUCUCCCAGGCUGCGUACAGCACGUCAGGAGAGCUCCUCAAAGAUGGCAGAAGAGGGGAAGGGCAAGCGCUCUGCUGCGGCCUGGCCCCAAACUCAAGCCCCUGCCUGUGAGGGUCAAUGGAGAGCAGGACAGGAAAUAUGCUGCCUGUGCCGGCAAGAAGAUGAAAGAACUCUGCAGGCAUCGCUGGCUGAGGAG